GGGUCGGUAGCUCAGGUGGUUAGAGCGCACGCCUGAUAAGCGUGAGGUCGAGGUUCAACUCCUCCUCGACCCACCA
This 76-nucleotide transfer RNA is filed under the name Amaricoccus sp. HAR-UPW-R2A-40. RNAcentral describes it as "tRNA-Ile". It matches the Rfam family "tRNA". From Rfam's summary of the family: Transfer RNA (tRNA) molecules are approximately 80 nucleotides in length. Their secondary structure includes four short double-helical elements and three loops (D, anti-codon, and T loops). The record is from RNAcentral. Lineage: Bacteria; Pseudomonadati; Pseudomonadota; Alphaproteobacteria; Rhodobacterales; Paracoccaceae.